CGUAGGGGCGUAGCGUUGUCCGGAAGUCAUUGGGCGUAAAGACGCGUGUAGGCGGUCCGGUAACGUCCGCUGUGAAAGUACGAGGGCUCAACCCUCAAAUGCCGGUGGAUACUGUCGGGCUAGAGUACGGAAGAGGCGAGUGGAAUUCCUGGUGUAGCGGUGAAAUGCGCAGAUAUCAGGAGGAACACCAAUUGCGAAGGCAGCUCGCUGGGACGUUACUGACGCUGAGACGCGAAAGCGUGGGGGAGCAAACAGGAUU
Molecule: ribosomal RNA, 259 nt
Filed under: uncultured bacterium
Lineage: Bacteria
Description: partial 16S ribosomal RNA
Rfam family: Bacterial small subunit ribosomal RNA
Source: RNAcentral